AGAGUUUGAUUAUGGCUCAGGAUGAACGCUGGCGGCGUGCUUAACACAUGCAAGUCGAACGAAGCAACUAUCUUGCUUGCAAGAGAGUUGACUUAGUGGCGGACGGGUGAGUAACGCGUGGGUAACCUGCCUCAUACAGGGGGAUAACAGUUGGAAACGACUGCUAAGACCGCAUAACCCGCUAGUGUCGCAUGACACGGACGGAAAAUAUUUAUAGGUAUGAGAUGGGCCCGCGUCUGAUUAGCUAGUUGGUAAGGUAACGGCUUACCAAGGCGACGAUCAGUAGCCGACUUGAGAGAGUGAUCGGCCACAUUGGGACUGAGACACGGCCCAAACUCCUACGGGAGGCAGCAGUGGGGAAUAUUGGACAAUGGGGGAAACCCUGAUCCAGCCGACGCCGCGUGAGUGAAGAAGUAUUUCGGUAUGUAAAGCUCUAUCAGCAGGGAAGAUAAUGACAGUACCUGACUAAGAAGCCCCGGCUAACUACGUGCCAGCCGCCGC
This 501-nucleotide ribosomal RNA is filed under the name uncultured bacterium. RNAcentral's name for it is "bacterial SSU rRNA". It matches the Rfam family "Bacterial small subunit ribosomal RNA", at positions 8 to 518 of the family's 1533-position model. The record is from RNAcentral.